Molecule: ribosomal RNA, 655 nt
Filed under: uncultured fungus
Lineage: Eukaryota; Fungi
Description: eukaryotic LSU rRNA
Rfam family: Eukaryotic large subunit ribosomal RNA
Source: RNAcentral
ACCCGCUGAACUUAAGCAUAUCAAUAAGCGGAGGAAAAGAAACUAACAAGGAUUCCCCUAGUAACUGCGAGUGAAGAGGGAAAAGCUCAAAUUUAAAAUCUGGCAGCUUCGCUGUCCGAAUUGUAAUUUAGAGAAGUGUUACCCGCGUUGGACCGUGUAUAAGUCUCCUGGAAUGGAGCGUCAUAGAGGGUGAGAAUCCCGUCUUUGACACGGACUACCAAGGCAUUGUGGUAUGCUCUCGAAGAGUCGAGUUGUUUGGGAAUGCAGCUCUAAAUGGGUGGUAAAUUCCAUCUAAAGCUAAAUAUUGGCGAGAGACCGAUAGCGAACAAGUACCGUGAGGGAAAGAUGAAAAGAACUUUGGAAAGAGAGUUAAACAGUACGUGAAAUUGCUGAAAGGGAAACGCUUGAAGUCAGUCGCGUUGGCCGGGUAUCAGCCUUGCUUUUGUGAGGUGUACUUCCUGGUUGACGGGUCAGCAUCAGUUUCGACCACUGGAAAAAGGCUUGGGGAAUGUGGCACCUUCGGGUGUGUUAUAGCCCCUUGUUGUAUACAGUGGUUGGGACUGAGGAACUCAGCACGCCGCAAGGCCGGGUUUCGACCACGUUCGUGCUUAGGAUGCUGGCAAAAUGGCUUUAAUCGACCCGUCUUGAAACACGG